RNA transcript from Arachis duranensis, 1555 nucleotides. It is a transcript of the gene named E2F transcription factor-like E2FE, with no coding region annotated. The record is from RefSeq and is a predicted model, not a curated record. The transcript has 12 exons. Lineage: Eukaryota; Viridiplantae; Streptophyta; Magnoliopsida; Fabales; Fabaceae.
CAGCAGAUAAACAAAGAAAACACAUACGCCAUGUUCCAAAAUCACAGCCCCGCCAUUUCCCUCCUUUCUCCAUCUCAUCAUUCAUCCUUCCCCACUUAACUCUUCUCUCUCUCUUUUUCUCUCUCUUCCUUCAGAUCCAUGUCUUCUCCAACACCAACCAUGGAUCCCUCUUCACGCCACUACUCCUACAAUCGCAAACAGAAAUCCCUCGGCCUCUUGUGCACCAAUUUCUUGAAAUUGUAUAAUAAGGACAGCAUCCACUUGAUCGGCCUCGACGAUGCAGCUUCUCGAUUAGGUGUUGAGAGGCGGCGGAUCUAUGAUAUAGUGAACGUCUUAGAGAGUGUCGGGGUGCUUUCUAGAAAAGCUAAGAAUCAGUAUACUUGGAAAGGGUUUGCUGCUAUUCCUGGGGCUUUACAAGAACUCAAGGACGAGGGUUUGAGGGAGAAUCCCUAUGGUUUUGACGGUGAUAAUGAAAUUGCAAAAUUGUCAGAUGACGAGGAUGACGAAGAAACAAUGUCAAAUCCCAGUAAUGGAAGUCAGAAUGACAAAUCAAAUCCCAAUGCCUCACUUACAAAAUCAUUGAAGCCUGAAAACAGAAGGGAAAAAUCUCUGGCGCUUCUUACUCAAAAUUUUGUCAAGCUCUUUGUCUGCUCUAAUAUCGAAAUGAUUUCCCUUGACGAAGCUGCAAAGCUGUUGCUUGGAAAUGCCCAUAAUACAUCAAUAAUGAGAACAAAAGUCAGACGCUUAUAUGAUAUUGCAAAUGUUUUGUCCUCCAUGAAUCUAAUCGAGAAGACCCAUACAACAGACACAAGAAAACCAGCAUUCAGGUGGCUUGGUUUAAGAGGGAAACCAUGGAGUGAGUCAGGUGACUCUGCUCUAAAUUCGAAUCACAGUGGCGAAUCAAGGAAAAGGAUGUUUGGUGAAGACAUCACCAACAUUAGCUUCAAGAGGAACAAAGUGGAUCCGUUUAUGAAUGCUGAGAAUAGCUGCAAGAGUUACUCCAAGAUUCAAGACCAACUCGAAAACGAUGAUGAUAGUUGUUGGCAAGCUCACACGGAUAAAGGCAUCGUGAAACAAGAAAGAAAACAGAAUUCAAAGGGCUACCAUUUUGGUCCUUUUGCUCCAGAGUAUGUUUCCAAGAAUGGUGGAGCCUCUGAGAAUACUAAUGUGAAGCAGGUUCAUGAUUGGGAGAGUCUCUCAAAUGUGUAUCGUCCUCGGUAUCAAAAUCAAGAUUGACUCACAUUCCUCCUUUGUGUGGUUUGGCUACACCAAGCUUGAAAAUAGCAAGGUCUAUGCUUUGAGAGACCUCUUCUCCCACUACAUGGAAGCAUGGAAAUCUUGGUACUCUGAAGUUGCAGGGAAAAGGCCAAUACAAAUUUUAUAGUUUCCUUGUGUCCAGCAAUGACAAAUAAUAGUGCAGCUUUUCUUAAGAGAUGAUGAUUUCAUUAGGAUCAUGGAUGCAUGUUCUCCAUGCACCAACAUUAGAAUUUCUGUGUAAGGAUUUUCUUUAAAUUAUUGAACCCGUCUGAAUGACAUCUGCUCUGUAUUUCUUGCA